GAUUUCUCCAAGAAACUGACUCAGUUCUGAUGACUGACUCAGUUCUUGUGUCAAAAUCAUAUGUUUUUCUGGAUAGUAGAUUCUUAGCCAUGCUCACUUUCAUUUUUUCAAAAUGCCCAGGAUCACAGCAUUUUUCAUUCAGGUAAAUUGCACUCAGCAAUGGCAUACUGUGGGAUGAAAAAUGUUUGUCCACGAGUCAAAUGAUUCCUGAUAUUCUUCAAAACAUGUGGCCGAUGACUGACUCAGUUCUUGUGUCAAAAUCAUAUGUUUUUCUGGAUAGUAGAUUCUUAGCCAUGCUCACUUUCAUUUUUUCAAAAUGCCCAGGAUCACAGCAUUUUUCAUUCAGGUAAAUUGCACUCAGCAAUGGCAUACUGUGGGAUGAAAAAUGUUUGUCCACGAGUCAGAUGAUUCCUGAUAUUCUUCAAAACAUGUGGAACAUCAGACAUAAAUCUAAGAAUGAAUUUCCAGUGAAGAAGUACGCAACAACUUGUUUCCAUCUUGCUGUCAAACCACAUAACAUGAAAACCAUGGCAUGUGUUGCCAU
Long non-coding RNA from Xenia sp. Carnegie-2017, 544 nucleotides. RefSeq lists it as uncharacterized. The transcript is spliced from 4 exons. Lineage: Eukaryota; Metazoa; Cnidaria; Anthozoa; Malacalcyonacea; Xeniidae. The record is from RefSeq and is a predicted model, not a curated record.